Molecule: long non-coding RNA, 3154 nt
Organism: Hypanus sabinus (Atlantic stingray)
Lineage: Eukaryota; Metazoa; Chordata; Chondrichthyes; Myliobatiformes; Dasyatidae
Exons: 3
Source: RefSeq, a predicted model, not a curated record
CACAGUUGAACUUCUAACAGGUUUUGUUGCUAAACAGUCAACUCCAUCAUUUCCCUCAACAGUGCGAUGUGCAGGGCCCAUAAGGUGCAGACAUAUGAACCGAACUUUGUAUAUGAAAUAAUGCUUGAUGAGUUUCCAACAGUCAAUCUGACCUACUGCUAGAAUGUCCUGUUUUAAGGCUCAUCAAAACCGAAAGAGAAUCUGAACAAAUUACAAGUUUGCAAGGACCAAUUUCCUCCACACACUGUAACCCUAAAAUCAAAGCAAAGAAUUCUGCUUCAUAUACCCACAAAUGGCUGCCCCCUCAUUUGUGAGAAUCGCAAGAGCACCCUUUGAGGAGGGGGGGGGUCAGUAGACCCAGGAAGUGAGAGAGAGAGGAACGUGAAAAAUUGCACGUCCCACCAGGGAUACAGAAUAAGAUGCCAGCAACUAUUGUCUCAUGGAGACCACGUGAAAAGCCCUUGGGCAAGGUGGGCUGGUUGAGAGAGAGAUUGCAUCAUCUCAACCUGAUUGACACCUGCGACCCCGUGAGGAAGUAUAAAGGAGAGUCUCAGGGGGACAGCCCCUUAGACGCACCCAGAAGACACGAGAGAGCGAUCCCGCAGUAGCGGGAUGCCAUUCUGAAGGAAGCCACGUGCGUUAGAUUCCGGGAUUGGAAUUUGUGGCUGGAAUCACACAGGAAACCGCUUUUAACUAUCAUCGGGGAGAGGGAACCAACGCUUCCCCGAUUUCACGGAAGAUUCAUCAAGACUCGGCAAGUUCUUUCUCUUCUCCCCCGCCCAAUCUCUCUCUCUCGGUCGCCCCACGCAAAACCCAGCGAUUUUCAAAGGGCUGCGGCCUGCAGACCUUCAGAGUGACUUUUAUAUUUCCAACGGACAAUCUAUUAACCCCUAGACACCAGCAGAGCUCACUUCUUAAUGAUGAUAAUUACUAUACCCGCGCUUUAGAUUGAAUGUUGACAAUGUGCACUAUCUAAAUGUAUGUAUUAACCCUACUUUUGUGUCCCUUUAUGAGUAAAACGUUUGAAAAUAGUGACAUCAGACUUCAACGGACCUCUCUAUCUUUGCUGCAGCUAUGCAGAGAAAAGACAAAAUUACACUAAAUCACAAAAUACUUCAAUAGUGCAAAAAGGACCAAUGAGGAUGUGUUCCCUCUUUCUCCUGAAGUGCAUGCCCACUGGCAUUGGACAUUUCCUCCUUAGAGAAAAAAUCCCGGCUGUCCAAUCUGUCUGUGUCUCUCACAUUCCUGUAAACGUCUGUCAGACCUCUCUCAGCCUCUGCCACUCCGGAGAAAAUUCCCCGAGAUUGUCCGGUCUCACUUUAUCCAGGCAGCAUCCUGUUAAGCCUCUUCCACUCACCAUCCAAAACCUCCGCAUUAUUCCUGUCUUCAAAUGCAAUUCUCCAGAUGUGGAUAAACUAGAGAUUUAUACAACUGCAACAUAACUGCCUGACAAUGGAACCACUAUCUGGGAGUUAUGAUCUCGGAUUCCAAGAUCCCCCUGUAGAUCAACACAGUCCAAUCUCGCCCCAUGAAUAUAACAGCAACGAGAUAAUGCUGAGGCUUUAUAAGACUCUAGUCAGGCCACACUUGGAGUAUUGUCAACAGUGUUGGGCCCCACAUCUCAGACAGGAUGUGUUGUCAUUGGAGAGAGUCCAGAGGAAGUUCAGAAAGAUGAUUUCGGGAAUGAAGGGAUUAAAAUAUGAGGAGCACUUGGCAGCUUUGACCCUGUGCUCACUGGAACUCAGAAAAAUGCGGGGCAUCUCAUUGAAACCUACCGAAUGUUGAAAGGCCUGGAUAAGGUGGAUGUGGAGAAGGUAUUUCCUGUGGUGGGGCACAGCCACAAAGUUGAAGGGCCACCUUUUCAAACAGAGGUAAGCAGCUUAUUUUUUUUAUUAGCCAAGGUGUAAUGGAUCCGUGGAAUGCUCUGCCACAGACUGCGGUGGAGGCCGAGUGUGUGGGUAUAUUCAAGGUGGAAGUUGAUCGUUUCCUGAUUGGUCAGGGCAUCAAAGUAUAUGGCGGGAGGUCAGAUAUCUGGAAAUGAGUGCGAUCUGGGAUCAGCCAUGAUGGAAAGGUGGCUGACUCAAUGGGCUGAAUGGCCUAAUUCUGUUCCGAUGCCUUAUGGACUUAUGAACAGAAGCCCCCUCAAUCAUGAUGAAUCUCCUCUGCACUCUUCCAGCACAAAACAACCUUUGUACGGAAUGCUAAGCGGAACUGAAUGCAACUUUUCAAGAACGUUAUCAUGUCAGGCAGCAUCUGUUGAGGGGAAUAGAGUCGAUGGCUGGGACAGAACCCGUCACUUACGGUGCUAACACAGGCCUUUCGGCCCAACCUUCUCGUGCUGUCUUCCUGUCCAUUUAAACUAAUCCCUCUGCCUGUCUUUGACACAGAACACAGAAAUCUACAGCACAUUACAGGCUCUUCAGCCCACAAUGUUGUACCGACCAUGUAACCUACUCUAGAGACUGUCUAGGAUUUCCCGAUCAUAUAGCCCUCUGUGUUUCUAUCCUCCAUGACGCUAUCUAAGAGUCUAUUAAAAUAUCCUGUUGUAUCCACCUCCACCAUCGCUGCCGGCAGUGCAUUCCACACACCCACCACUCUGUGUGUAAGAAACUUACCCCUGACAUUCCCUCAGUACCGACUUCUAAGCAGCUAAAACUACGUCCCCACGUGUUAGGCACUUCAAGCCUUGGAAAAUGCCUCUGGCUAUCCACAUGGUCAAAGCCUCUCAUCAUCUUAUACACCUCUAUCAGGUCACCUCUCAUCCUCCGUCGCUCCAAGAAGGAAAGGCUAAGUUCACUCAAUCUAUUCUCAUAACGCUGCUCUCCAAUCCAAGAGCUACAUCCUUGUAAAUCUACUCUGCACCCUAUAGUAUCCACAUCCUUCCUGUAGUGAGGCCACCAGAACUGAACACAGGACUCCCAAGUGGGGUCCAACUAAGUCCACAGCCCUGCCGUGUCGGGGUACAAUUACUUAUGUACAGGUUAGGAGAAAUAUCGCUUCAACAUCACCUCACAGCUCUUGAACUCAAUCCCACGGUUGAUAAAGGCCAUCACACCAGACCCCUUCCUAACAACACUGCCAACCUCCACAGCAGCUUUGAGUGUCGUAUGGACAUGGACCCCAAGAUCUAUCUGACCGUCCACAAUGCCAAGAG